RNAcentral lists this ribosomal RNA (2927 nucleotides) under Escherichia coli. Its description in RNAcentral is "partial 23S ribosomal RNA". It matches the Rfam family "Bacterial large subunit ribosomal RNA". The record is from RNAcentral. Lineage: Bacteria; Pseudomonadati; Pseudomonadota; Gammaproteobacteria; Enterobacterales; Enterobacteriaceae.
GGGUUGUGAGGUUAAGCGACUAAGCGUACACGGUGGAUGCCCUGGCAGUCAGAGGCGAUGAAGGACGUGCUAAUCUGCGAUAAGCGUCGGUAAGGUGAUAUGAACCGUUAUAACCGGCGAUUUCCGAAUGGGGAAACCCAGUGUGAUUCGUCACACUAUCAUUAACUGAAUCCAUAGGUUAAUGAGGCGAACCGGGGGAACUGAAACAUCUAAGUACCCCGAGGAAAAGAAAUCAACCGAGAUUCCCCCAGUAGCGGCGAGCGAACGGGGAGCAGCCCAGAGCCUGAAUCAGUGUGUGUGUUAGUGGAAGCGUCUGGAAAGGCGUGCGAUACAGGGUGACAGCCCCGUACACAAAAAUGCACAUGCUGUGAGCUCGAUGAGUAGGGCGGGACACGUGGUAUCCUGUCUGAAUAUGGGGGGACCAUCCUCCAAGGCUAAAUACUCCUGACUGACCGAUAGUGAACCAGUACCGUGAGGGAAAGGCGAAAAGAACCCCGGCGAGGGGAGUGAAAAAGAACCUGAAACCGUGUACGUACAAGCAGUGGGAGCACAGAGCAAUCUGUGUGACUGCGUACCUUUUGUAUAAUGGGUCAGCGACUUAUAUUCUGUAGCAAGGUUAACCGAAUAGGGGAGCCGAAGGGAAACCGAGUCUUAACUGGGCGUUAAGUUGCAGGGUAUAGACCCGAAACCCGGUGAUCUAGCCAUGGGCAGGUUGAAGGUUGGGUAACACUAACUGGAGGACCGAACCGACUAAUGUUGAAAAAUUAGCGGAUGACUUGUGGCUGGGGGUGAAAGGCCAAUCAAACCGGGAGAUAGCUGGUUCUCCCCGAAAGCUAUUUAGGUAGCGCCUCGUGAAUUCAUCUCCGGGGGUAGAGCACUGUUUCGGCAAGGGGGUCAUCCCGACUUACCAACCCGAUGCAAACUGCGAAUACCGGAGAAUGUUAUCACGGGAGACACACGGCGGGUGCUAACGUCCGUCGUGAAGAGGGAAACAACCCAGACCGCCAGCUAAGGUCCCAAAGUCAUGGUUAAGUGGGAAACGAUGUGGGAAGGCCCAGACAGCCAGGAUGUUGGCUUAGAAGCAGCCAUCAUUUAAAGAAAGCGUAAUAGCUCACUGGUCGAGUCGGCCUGCGCGGAAGAUGUAACGGGGCUAAACCAUGCACCGAAGCUGCGGCAGCGACGCUUAUGCGUUGUUGGGUAGGGGAGCGUUCUGUAAGCCUGCGAAGGUGUGCUGUGAGGCAUGCUGGAGGUAUCAGAAGUGCGAAUGCUGACAUAAGUAACGAUAAAGCGGGUGAAAAGCCCGCUCGCCGGAAGACCAAGGGUUCCUGUCCAACGUUAAUCGGGGCAGGGUGAGUCGACCCCUAAGGCGAGGCCGAAAGGCGUAGUCGAUGGGAAACAGGUUAAUAUUCCUGUACUUGGUGUUACUGCGAAGGGGGGACGGAGAAGGCUAUGUUGGCCGGGCGACGGUUGUCCCGGUUUAAGCGUGUAGGCUGGUUUUCCAGGCAAAUCCGGAAAACUAAGGCUGAGGCGUGAUGACGAGGCACUACGGUGCUGAAGCAACAAAUGCCCUGCUUCCAGGAAAAGCCUCUAAGCAUCAGGUAACAUCAAAUCGUACCCCAAACCGACACAGGUGGUCAGGUAGAGAAUACCAAGGCGCUUGAGAGAACUCGGGUGAAGGAACUAGGCAAAAUGGUGCCGUAACUUCGGGAGAAGGCACGCUGAUAUGUAGGUGAAGCGACUUGCUCGUGGAGCUGAAAUCAGUCGAAGAUACCAGCUGGCUGCAACUGUUUAUUAAAAACACAGCACUGUGCAAACACGAAAGUGGACGUAUACGGUGUGACGCCUGCCCGGUGCCGGAAGGUUAAUUGAUGGGGUCAGCGCAAGCGAAGCUCUUGAUCGAAGCCCCGGUAAACGGCGGCCGUAACUAUAACGGUCCUAAGGUAGCGAAAUUCCUUGUCGGGUAAGUUCCGACCUGCACGAAUGGCGUAAUGAUGGCCAGGCUGUCUCCACCCGAGACUCAGUGAAAUUGAACUCGCUGUGAAGAUGCAGUGUACCCGCGGCAAGACGGAAAGACCCCGUGAACCUUUACUAUAGCUUGACACUGAACAUUGAGCCUUGAUGUGUAGGAUAGGUGGGAGGCUUUGAAGUGUGGACGCCAGUCUGCAUGGAGCCGACCUUGAAAUACCACCCUUUAAUGUUUGAUGUUCUAACGUUGACCCGUGAUCCGGGUUGCGGACAGUGUCUGGUGGGUAGUUUGACUGGGGCGGUCUCCUCCUAAAGAGUAACGGAGGAGCACGAAGGUUGGCUAAUCCUGGUCGGACAUCAGGAGGUUAGUGCAAUGGCAUAAGCCAGCUUGACUGCGAGCGUGACGGCGCGAGCAGGUGCGAAAGCAGGUCAUAGUGAUCCGGUGGUUCUGAAUGGAAGGGCCAUCGCUCAACGGAUAAAAGGUACUCCGGGGAUAACAGGCUGAUACCGCCCAAGAGUUCAUAUCGACGGCGGUGUUUGGCACCUCGAUGUCGGCUCAUCACAUCCUGGGGCUGAAGUAGGUCCCAAGGGUAUGGCUGUUCGCCAUUUAAAGUGGUACGCGAGCUGGGUUUAGAACGUCGUGAGACAGUUCGGUCCCUAUCUGCCGUGGGCGCUGGAGAACUGAGGGGGGCUGCUCCUAGUACGAGAGGACCGGAGUGGACGCAUCACUGGUGUUCGGGUUGUCAUGCCAAUGGCACUGCCCGGUAGCUAAAUGCGGAAGAGAUAAGUGCUGAAAGCAUCUAAGCACGAAACUUGCCCCGAGAUGAGUUCUCCCUGACUCCUUGAGAGUCCUGAAGGAACGUUGAAGACGACGACGUUGAUAGGCCGGGUGUGUAAGCGCAGCGAUGCGUUGAGCUAACCGGUACUAAUGAACCGUGAGGCUUAACCUUACAACGCCGAAG